AUACCGCCUCCGGGGAGCGCGGCAAGCGCUGAGAGUGUGGUUCGCCCACAGACCCGCGGAACCUGAUCCGGUUCGUACCGGUGUAGGAAGAGGGCCGCAUGCGUCG
This 106-nucleotide non-coding RNA is filed under the name Chloroflexota bacterium. RNAcentral's name for it is "Chloroflexi bacterium TPP sequence". It matches the Rfam family "TPP riboswitch aptamer (THI element)". Rfam says of the family: Vitamin B(1) in its active form thiamin pyrophosphate (TPP) is an essential coenzyme that is synthesised by coupling of pyrimidine and thiazole moieties in bacteria. The previously detected thiamin-regulatory element, thi box was extended, resulting in a new, highly conserved RNA secondary structure, the THI element, which is widely distributed in eubacteria and also occurs in some archaea. Lineage: Bacteria; Bacillati; Chloroflexota. The record is from RNAcentral.